UCGUGACUAAAGCUGCUGCAGCAGCAAGGGACCUUACAGAGGUAAUCAUAUACAGUGACCAGGAGCAAUGCAUGCUUGGACAUCAAAAGCUGCAGCAAUGGAAUAAAAAUGCCUUUUGCUGGUAAAGAUGGUGACAACUAUUUAAACCACAGCAAACCACAUGAUGCUCAAGUGUGUGAUCGUAAUUGCUAAAAAAUGAAGGAUGUAGUUUUACACAUCAAUCCUAUCUCCUUGAGGUAUUCAAUGCAUGAUUAAAGAACUGAAAGAAGAUGCAACAGUGAACUGUGAAAUUCAAUAACAUUUUCAGUUCGCACAGUACAAAAAGCAACCACCCAUGCCUUUACUGC
RNAcentral lists this long non-coding RNA (347 nucleotides) under Setaria italica (foxtail millet). RNAcentral's name for it is "long non-coding RNA (SITA_LNC004796)". Lineage: Eukaryota; Viridiplantae; Streptophyta; Magnoliopsida; Poales; Poaceae. The record is from RNAcentral.